Molecule: long non-coding RNA, 1870 nt
Organism: Brachypodium distachyon (stiff brome)
Lineage: Eukaryota; Viridiplantae; Streptophyta; Magnoliopsida; Poales; Poaceae
Exons: 4
Source: RefSeq, a predicted model, not a curated record
CAGACCUUUCUUCUUCACGAAGUAGACCACGCGUCGAGCAGCUUCUGUGCACUGCGAGUGACUCACCCUUCUCCGUUUCUUCCUCCGUUUGGCCGGCCGUUUUUGCAGUAGGCUUGGUGGACAUGCAGAAGGGCCACGCCUCCAACGCCGUUGCUGGCUUGCUGCAGAUCAACCGACUAUUGAAGUUCUCUCCUCUCUUCUUUAUAUUGCCGAGUUCAUCCUCCUGUUUUCCCCUUUCUCUGUCCUGAAGCCACCCAAGAUCUUUUCUGACCACACUUUCAAUCCCUCCCAAAUCUGAGAGCACUUCAUCGAGUAUUUCGCCGGGAACGCGAGCGGCGUCCAAGCAUUGGCAACCAUGCCCGACGCGGCUUCGGCGAGCUUUCUUUUCUUCUCCGGUUCGUGAAGCCAAGGCCGUCAUCUUCCCCAACACCGGCAAGAACUCCGGCGAGCCUCCCUUCCACCGAUUCCGGACACCAUUACUCCAGCUGACCACUGCAAGAGCUUCAGGAGUCCGGCAACGAGGGUUAUUCGGAAGGUGAUAAGCAGCAGUACCAGGAGCUUGAACAGCAAGGCAAACAUCAGCUUGUGAGCCUAGUAUAGGCGAGUUCUUCGAUGUUGAGUGUGACGUCUAGUUUGCUGGGUUUUCUUUGGUCAGCUUGGCCUGCGGGUUAUGUGGCUUUUGUGAGAUGGCGGUGGUAACCAUCUCAAGGGUUUUACUUAUGUUUCCGCUGCUGUUGGUGUUGGCUUUUAGGCCACUUGAUGUAUCUACUAUCUAUUUUCUCUUGUAUGAGAUGUGAACUAUGUAUCUAUAACUCCCUUUUUUAGUGUUCAUGUUGUGAUACCAUAUUUGUUUAAGCACGUCAUGCACAAUGUGUGUAUGAUCCUGGAGUGCAUGACGUGUAUUUGAGUGUUUGGACUUCUCUUGUAUGUGCAAAGUCGGAACUGCUAGUUAUCGCCUCCACUUGUGGUAUUCUUAUACCGAGUGGAUGGUCGGAUCCCAAGGCAGUGGCUUGUUCAAAGACUCAUCUUGUACCUACAAUAGAAGGUCAUUCUCUCGAACAAAGGGACUUGAGACUUAUUUCAACUCUUGGGAGAUUACAACCCCUUAUUUCGGUUUUACUCCAACUGUGAGUCAUACUAGUUGCGUAUGUAGAGUUGGGUAAGUGAGAGUCAUGGACCGUUGUGAGUCAUACGUCGUUGGCGUAUGUGGAACGGGUUUUACUUGCACUUAACGACAUACGAGCGGCGUCUCGGUGUAGGUCAUCGAACUCGGUUCAUUGCAUCUCUCAGUUGUUGGUUUAAGUUCCAGGACCUGACAAUUGUGGCCUUGCCGAGGUGCGUGGUUGGACACGGGGUACUGGUCUCUGCAUUAAGGAUGGCGUGGGCACGAUGCUACUGCACGUCCCAUUAAAUUGAGAUGUCACCAAUUUAUAUACUUGCUUGCCAGGAAUAUAUAUUUACUAAUCGUUGCCACAGCCCACAACAUUGCUGCUAAGUUGCCGGUUUUUAUGACACACUACUAAAUCAUUUUUGUAUGUGUACUGACUGACAUGGAACAAUAACUUUGUUUUCAGACAGUAGAGAGAGAGGGUGCUGAGUUGAUGUUGGUUUUUUGACCGGCUGAGUUGAUGUUGGUGUGUGGCUGCUGAUGGGAAGCCAUGCAAUUUUUGGGUUGGGAGCAAAGCACUGCCUUACCUAUCAUGUAUAUCCAGUAUUCAGAAGCUUGUUUGUUGAUCCUACAUUUUUCUAGUUUUUGAUGCGCAACUCUUGUGUUGAGUGAUCCCUGUGUUUGACUGAUAGUAGCACAGUCCGUGAUUGUUUGGUUUCUGGUUCUAGUACUAGAAGUACCUAACUGAUGUGCGUAUUUUCA